CCGGUCUCCGUAGGGAACUUCUCCAAAUCUCUUGUAAAGUUUGAUGCCAGUGAAUGCAACAUCAAAGGAAAGAUUCCAAAUGAAGUUGGAAACUUAAGCAGCUUGUUAGACCUUCAUCUUUCUGAUAAUAACUUCAUUGGAUCAAUUCCUACAUCAAUUGGCAACUUGAGAAACAUUCAGUACUUCAACUUGAACCACAACAAUCUUACAGGAUUUAUUGGAGAUAACAUUUGUAAAUUGCAGUAUUUGAGUGAAAUUUACUUGGGACAAAAUCAACUUUCAGGAUCUCUUCCUAAUUGUUUAGGGAAUGUUACUUCCCUUAGAUGGAUAUAUCUUGCUUCCAAUAAAUUGAGUUCCAAUUUACCAACAAGCUUAGGAAAUCUUAAAGAUUUACUAGUUCUUGACUUAUCAUCAAACAACAUGGUUGGCUCUUUACCUCCGGAAAUUGGAUAUCUAAAGGCUGCAAUAUAUAUGAAUCUGUCAAUGAAUCAAUUCACAAAUGGAAUUCCUACAGAAAUUGGAGGAUUGCAAAAUCUGGAGCACCUUUAUUUGAGACACAACAAGUUGCAAGGAUCAAUACCUGACUCAAUGAACAACAUGGUAAGUUUGGAAUACCUAGACAUUUCUCAUAAUAAUAUAUCGGGAACUAUUCCCAUGUCUUUGGAGAAACUACAAUACCUCGAGUAUUUCAAUGUUUCUGACAACAAAUUGUAUGGUGAAAUACCCUCGGGGGGUCCUUUCAAGAACCUCUCCAGUCUGUUUUUCAUCAACAAUGAAGCAUUGUGUGGUUUGUCAAGGUUUAAUGUCCCACCAUGCCCCACAUCAUC
This 827-nucleotide long non-coding RNA is filed under the name Solanum lycopersicum (tomato). Its description in RNAcentral is "long non-coding RNA (SLYC_LNC001255)". Lineage: Eukaryota; Viridiplantae; Streptophyta; Magnoliopsida; Solanales; Solanaceae. The record is from RNAcentral.